GGCAGCAUGCAUUUGCAAUGGAAUCCAAGCAUUCUCAGUGGAGUUCCUGCCUGCCUUGGGACUGACUGACUGGACCAAGGGGGGCCUAAGGCUGCUCUCGCUCUUGGCCGUCUCGGCGACACCAAGCUUGGACCAAGAGUGUCUCGAUGCCGGCGAUUGGGACGAUCUCGCUGCGCCUGGAUUUCGGCGUUUGAUCGGGAGUGAUAUGCUGGUGAAUGCCCUGCCGAGUUUAGGGCAUUGUCAAGAAGAUCUGUUCUCCUUGUUUGGCACUUCUGCACAUGCUGCGGACUUCACUCACUCUUCAUCGAGCAAGGGGAUCGAAUGAACUGGAGAUUGAAACUCAGGAAGACUGAACGUGGGGGAAAUCCUGAUUCAUUAUGGAAUGAAUUAGAGUAUGAUUCACCCAAUAGAAAGCAGCGAAAGAUCCUUAGAGCCGGCAAUGCUUUAAAAUCAAAGAACCGCAGUCGACGAGCCCUGUAGUGCCCAUGAGGCGCAGAAGAAUCCUCCCCAACAAUAUGGACUUGAAAAUUUUACCUCAAGAUUUAAUUAAGAGCUCAAGCAAGGAAUCACAAGCUUGAUGCUCCUGAUUGUGAGUUAAUAGCUAUGGUCUCCAGCAAUAGAGGGAUUCAGCUAUAACCAAGAAAACAAUUACACAUACAACCUAUUCGUUACAUGCCCAAUUCCUGAUUCUUGAUUGAAUUUAUUUCUUUCUCUUGGUGGAAUUGUCGAGCUGAUCUCCCUGCAUCUCUUACAGUCGUGUGAUAGUUGAUGCUUUUGUUAAUGUGACACAUGGGUUAUGAAUACACGGCACUCAAUGUAACUCUUCACUUCUUUAUGAGAGCUCUUGAGGAGUAGUAGAAGUACCUAGGAAAGUAAUCAUAGUUGGAGGAACAUCAUGAUGUCUUCAGUUCAUUGCGUAGAUAUUAGAGCACGAGGCAAGUUCAUACACCUUGUAUGUCUCAUUACUAUAUUUCAAUGCCACUGAGUGACACACAACGCAUUUUUGUUGCAUCUGUCGAUGAUAAAAGCACCUGAUACGUCAUGUUCAGG
Molecule: non-coding RNA, 1050 nt
Organism: Physcomitrium patens
Lineage: Eukaryota; Viridiplantae; Streptophyta; Bryopsida; Funariales; Funariaceae
Source: RefSeq, a predicted model, not a curated record